This is a long non-coding RNA of Erinaceus europaeus (western European hedgehog), 149 nucleotides long. RefSeq lists it as uncharacterized. The transcript has 3 exons. The record is from RefSeq and is a predicted model, not a curated record. Lineage: Eukaryota; Metazoa; Chordata; Mammalia; Eulipotyphla; Erinaceidae.
CUGCCUUGUCCAGUGUGCAAGGAGGCAUGGUGUCUUGGGACUAUGUGCACAGGUGUAUGUGCACAGGUGUGAGAGUGCACAGGUGUGAGUGCACAGGUGUGACUGUGUACAGGUGUGAUUGUGUACAGGUGUGUGUGCACAGGUGUGUG